CAGCCGCCGCGGGAAUACGGAGGGAGCUAGCGUUAUUCGGAAUUACUGGGCGUAAAGCGCACGUAGGCGGCUUUGUAAGUUAGAGGUGAAAGCCUGGAGCUCAACUCCAGAAUUGCCUUUAAGACUGCAUCGCUUGAAUCCAGGAGAGGUGAGUGGAAUUCCGAGUGUAGAGGUGAAAUUCGUAGAUAUUCGGAAGAACACCAGUGGCGAAGGCGGCUCACUGGACUGGUAUUGACGCUGAGGUGCGAAAGCGUGGGGAGCAAACAGGAUUAGAUACCCCUGUAGUCCCUGUCUCUUAUAC
RNAcentral lists this ribosomal RNA (301 nucleotides) under uncultured bacterium. RNAcentral's name for it is "partial 16S ribosomal RNA". It matches the Rfam family "Bacterial small subunit ribosomal RNA", at positions 509 to 807 of the family's 1533-position model. The record is from RNAcentral.